AUUAACCACGAGCUGCUGCGUUUCAGUGCCUUCAUUUAUUUUACUUCUAGUCCAAUCGAGUGAUGGAACUCGGUGCAGAUUCAUGCGAUAUUAAAAAAAAAGAAGAGAUUUACAAAAAUGUUGCUAGGAGCAAAAGUCCAAUACGGAUUAACUUUCCAUCCGGGGGCAAUUUCGAUUUUUAGCGAGCGUUUCGCGUGUUCUGUUAAUUUCUGUUAAUUUGUAAGUUCCAAGUUACUAAACUCGACCUUUUCUCUAUCACAUUAAAAGUCUCC
Molecule: unclassified non-coding RNA, 272 nt
Filed under: Bombus terrestris (buff-tailed bumblebee)
Lineage: Eukaryota; Metazoa; Arthropoda; Insecta; Hymenoptera; Apidae
Description: misc RNA ENSBTSG00005021714.1
Source: RNAcentral